GAUGAACGCUGGCGGCGUGCCUAAUACAUGCCAGUCGAGCGAACAGACGAGGAGCUUGCUCCUCUGACGUUAGCGGCGGACGGGUGAGUAACACGUGGAUAACCUACCUAUAAGACUGGGAUAACUUCGGGAAACCGGAGCUAAUACCGGAUAACAUGUUGAACCGCAUGGUUUAACAGUGAAAGACGGUCUUGCUGUCACUUAUAGAUGGAUCCGCGCCGCAUUAGCUAGUUGGUAAGGUAACGGCUUACCAAGGCAACGAUGCGUAGCCGACCUGAGAGGGUGAUCGGCCACACUGGAACUGAGACACGGUCCAGACUCCUACGGGAGGCAGCAGUAGGGAAUCUUUCGCAAUGGGCGAAAGCCUGACGGAGCAACGCCGCGUGAGUGAAGAAGGUCUUCGGAUCGUAAAACUCUGUUAUUAGGGAAGAACAAAUGUGUAAGUAACUAUGCACGUCUUGACGGUACCUAAUCAGAAAGCCACGGCUAACUACGUG
Molecule: ribosomal RNA, 497 nt
Filed under: uncultured bacterium
Lineage: Bacteria
Description: partial 16S ribosomal RNA
Rfam family: Bacterial small subunit ribosomal RNA
Source: RNAcentral